CUAAUCUGAAAAAUGACAUCAAUGCUGAGCAAAGACAUACCUGAACACCUGCUCCUCCCUUGAUUCUGUGAACUGUGUGGUGACGGGAAACACUUUCAAGUUCAGAAGCUCGAGUUCAGGUGUCAUCAGCUGCACUGAGAGCCACGCAGUAUGACUCUGCAGAUGACCCCAGCAUAGGCCAUCAGAAGGUCGAAGAGAAGGUCCACUGCAGAUCCCAGCUCUGCCUCUGACAGUCACAUCCCCCUGCCAGCUUCAUCAUCUCGGAAUGAGGUCUCUGUGGCCAGGAUAUUACAAAGCACAGCUAUAAUCCCUCAGCUUCUGCUAAAUCAGUUUGUGUUGAUGACUGACCAAGUGCAGGCCCAGACGUAGCCAAACACUGUGCAGACAGCUUCCCAGGGUGGCAGUGACCUGGGUAGGCAGAAUUGGCACUACCUGAAGGACACGUACAAAACACUGUCUUCAUGCAGGGUAUUUUAGAAAUGCAAGUAACCCUCAUCUUGAAGUUGCUGGAGAGCCCAUCUUGGCUUUGCAAUCUGACCAGGACCAAGAUGUUUCCUUUUUGCCACCCUAGAACCAAGCGACAGAGUCUUCUGGACCCUACUGCACCAGGAAAACAGGAUAGACUCCUCUGGGAAGGUUGUUUCAUGCCUGGCACCUUUGGCUUGUGACCUGAAGGGGAACUGAUUGUAUUUUAUCUGCUGAAGAAGAAAAGAUUUCUGAAACUUCCGCAUUGUGCACCCAAAUGACAGACCCCUUUCCUGUCUGAGGCUCCCAGACUGAAUCUCGGUGGGGACUUAAGUGCAGAUGGCUAGGCCUGUGCCACAUUCCCCAGCCCCGCAGGCCUGACCCAGGACACCUUGUGGACAGGGUGCAGGCCUGCCAGCAACUUGUUUUGUUCAAGACAGACUGUAUUCGAGUCUCCCCUCCCGAUCGCUUAUUAGAAGCUCUGAAAUCUUUACUAGACUUGCAUAUUUGUUUCCCUUUUGCUUUUAUAUAAAAUAUAGUUUAUGGUGUUAUAUUUAUUUUUAACUGAGAUACUGUACAUAUGUAAAUAACUUUUUUUUUAUUUUUAGAUAAGAUCUCACUAAGUUGCUCAAGCUGGCCUUGAACUUGGGAUCCAUCUGCCUCAGCCUCCCAAGCAGCCGGGAUUACAGGCUUUGUGCACUGCCAUGCCCAGCUUGUAAAUAGCUCUUGACAGGAAGAAAAUAUAUGAAUGUAAUAUUAGCUUCCUAUCAGUGAACUGAACAAAUAUAUCAUUGAAAUUUAUGCUGCAAUCUGAGUUGCUGCAAACAUAGCCCAGUUUGUUUACUUUUGAAAAAUGUGACAAAGCUACUAAGAAUGAUUUAUGGCAGGCUUUCCACUACAGUGGGUGGGACUUCUUAAGCACUCACCCUCUGCUUCUCCCCGAACUCUCCUCACAAAGAUGGCGUUGGUGUAAAGCUGAAGGAUUUUUCAUUUUUGUACAGAUACAUUGUCAACGUUUAAGAACUUGAGAGGGAAGUAGAUAACUGAGAUGCAUGGAUAUCAACUUUCAUGCUUUAGAAUACUAAAAGAUAGGAAACCAUAGUUCUGAUCAGAACUUGCCCACAAAUACCAGUGAUUCUGGGGGGUUAAAUCAUGUACUCUUCAAAUUGAUGUAAGUACACCGAACUUAGAUUUCAUGCUUUUAAAAUUUAGACUCAAAUGCUUUAGAAUUUAAACAGUUUUUUCAUUAGUUAAUAAUUCAAGGUUCUGUAAACAUUUGAUUAAACUCUGCAUGCAUAUGUCAUUGUUCUUGUUUUUCUGUUUAUCUUCUCAACAAUGGGCCCAGAGAAAAGGAAGAGUAGCCCAUGGGGGAUUUAGGAACCAGCUGCCAAGGGCCCUCUCUUCCUCUCUGAUCUUUUUUUGGUCUUUUUCUUCUUUUUU
Molecule: long non-coding RNA, 1905 nt
Organism: Ictidomys tridecemlineatus (thirteen-lined ground squirrel)
Lineage: Eukaryota; Metazoa; Chordata; Mammalia; Rodentia; Sciuridae
Source: Ensembl